RNAcentral lists this ribosomal RNA (775 nucleotides) under uncultured fungus. RNAcentral's name for it is "eukaryotic LSU rRNA". The stretch from base 281 to 775 matches the Rfam family "Eukaryotic large subunit ribosomal RNA", at positions 1 to 525 of the family's 3401-position model. The record is from RNAcentral. Lineage: Eukaryota; Fungi.
GAUCAUUAACAUUAAAUUUACCACACUGUUUUGGAUAAACACAAACCUUUAACCUUGAGUAUUCAACAAAGUUUAAUUAAAUAAAACUUUCAGCAACGGAUCUCUUGGCUCUCGCAUCGAUGAAGAACGCAGCAAACCGCGAUAUGUAGUGGACCUGCCCGUGAAACAUCAAUCUUUGAACGCACAUUGCCUUUGUAUGCGCGAAUGAGCAUUUAUCUUCUCAAACCUCUGGUUUGGCUUGUAUUUCAAAACUAAUAUUCCACGAUUUAUUAGUCACAUUUAUUUCUCAUUUGCGUAAGACUACCCGCUGAACUUAAGCAUAUCAAUAAGCGGAGGAAAAGAAACCAACAGGGAUUGCCUCAGUAACGGCGAGUGAAGCGGCAAAAGCUCAAAUUUGAAAUCCGCAAGGAGUUGUAAUUUGAAGACACUCAGUUGGCAGCGCAACAAGUUGCUUGGAACAGCACACCAUAGAGGGUGAGAGUCCCGUGUAGCGAAGCCUUUUACUGUAUGUCGACGAGUCGAGUUGUUUGGGAAUGCAGCUCAAAGUGGGUGGUAAACUCCAUCUAAAGCUAAAUAUUGGCGAGAGACCGAUAGCGAACAAGUACAGUGAUGGAAAGAUGAAAAGCACUUUGAAAAGAGAGUGAAACAGCACGUGAAAUUGCUGGAAGGGAAGGGCUUGCAGCCAGACAGCGUUCGCGCGCCUAGCGUUGGUUUGUGUUGGUAGAUAACAUCUUAGGAAUGUAGCAUGUUCGCAUGUAUUAUAGCCCGGGAAAAU